AACGUCUCCUUGGCAUUGGACAAAAUUGAUGACCAAAAGGAAAGAAUUGGUCAACAGAGAUGAAUGCGGAACCACAGGGAAAGGAAGUCCCCGGAGCUGAUGCAGCAAUCAAACAGCCGGGGUUUCACUGCUUCUUGGAUGACUUUGCUAUCCAGAGAGAGGAGACACCACAGCCGUGAAGCUUUCGCUCUCUCCUCCAGUGCCAUGGUGUUGCCAGGUGACUCAGGACUCAAGCCUGGACCAUGAACAUAGCAAGCGGCUGCCUACCUGAGUGUGUUAACCCAGCUGGUGGCUCUCGAGGAUCCAGCUCAACGGAGACUCACUGCUCCACUUCCCCUGGCGCUCACGUCUCCAGUAGUCCUGGCCACCCAGUUUGCCGUCGGCAGGCCAGGACUCUUCAGCCCCCUUGAAGCUGUGUGAGUCGUCCAUCGUAAGUAAUUUCUUGUGCAUAGAUUGUUUCUCUGGAAGUGGGUGUCAACCCUGACUCCUGGCUCAGCAGCUCUGGGGCAUCCUCUGGAGCUGCAGCCAUGUGUGAGGCGCUUGGAGGCACGUGCACACCAGGCAAGUAGGAAUCUCACAAAGAUGGUGGAGAGGAUAUUUGGGGAGGUGGGCAGA
Molecule: long non-coding RNA, 615 nt
Organism: Erinaceus europaeus (western European hedgehog)
Lineage: Eukaryota; Metazoa; Chordata; Mammalia; Eulipotyphla; Erinaceidae
Exons: 3
Source: RefSeq, a predicted model, not a curated record